UGAGGAAUAUUGCGCAAUGGGGGAAACCCUGACGCAGCGACGCCGCGUGAGUGAGGAAGGCCUUCGGGUCGUAAAGCUCUGUCAGUAGGGAAGAAAUGCUAUAUGGUUAAUACCCAUGUAGUUUGACGGUACCUGCAAAGGAAGCACCGGCUAACUCCGUGCCAGCAGCCGCGGUAAUACGGAGGGUGCAAGCGUUGUUCGGAAUUACUGGGCGUAAAGGGAGCGCAGGCGGUUUUACAAGUCAGAUGUGAAAGCCCACGGCUUAACCGUGGAAGUGCAUUUGAAACUGUAAGACUUGAGUAUCAGAGGGGAAAGUGGAAUUCCCGGUGUAGAGGUGAAAUUCGUAGAUAUCGGGAGGAAUACCGGUGGCGAAGGCGACUUUCUGGCUGAAUACUGACGCUGAGGCUCGAAAGCGUGGGGAGCAAACAGGAUUAGAUACCCUGGUAGUCCACGCCGUAAACGAUGUGCACUAGAUGUAGGAGGGCUUGUCCCUUUUGUGGCGCAGCUAACGCGAUAAGUUGACCGCCUGGGGAGUACGGCCGCAAGGUUA
This 550-nucleotide ribosomal RNA is filed under the name uncultured bacterium. RNAcentral describes it as "bacterial SSU rRNA". It matches the Rfam family "Bacterial small subunit ribosomal RNA", at positions 355 to 896 of the family's 1533-position model. The record is from RNAcentral.